UGCAUUUACCUGGAGGCUUCGCGUGCCUGCAAGACGCCUAGCCUAGUCAUUAAUAAAUGCUAGAGAAAAUGCCUGAAUCGGACAUUACUUUGGCCCUGAUUCUCCCAGGGUCAGAGUAUAAUAUGGUUCAGUUAACA
RNAcentral lists this small nucleolar RNA (137 nucleotides) under Drosophila ananassae. Its description in RNAcentral is "snoRNA:GF26169". The record is from RNAcentral. Lineage: Eukaryota; Metazoa; Arthropoda; Insecta; Diptera; Drosophilidae.